CGUCUCCGUUAAUGAUUUUAGGUGCUUGCACUUGAAAGAUUUAACAUUGAGACGAGUGGCGAACUGGUGAGUAACACGUGGGUAACCUGCCCUUGAAGUAGGGGAUAACACUUGGAAACAGGUGCUAAUACCGUAUAACAACCAAAACCACCUGGUUUUGGUUUAAAAGACGGCUUCGGCUGUCACUUUAGGAUGGACCCGCGGCGUAUUAGCUUGUUGGUAAGGUAACGGCCUACCAAGGCGAUGAUACGUAGCCGACCUGAGAGGGUAAUCGGCCACAUUGGGACUGAGACACGGCCCAAACUCCUACGGGAGGCAGCAGUAGGGAAUCUUCCACAAUGGACGAAAGUUUGAUGGAGCAACGCCGCGUGAGUGAUGAAGGGUUUCGGCUCGUAAAACUCUGUUGUUGGAGAAGAACAGGUGUCAGAGUAACUGUUGACAUCUUGACGGUAUCCAACCAGAAAGCCACGGCUAACUACGUGCCAGCAGCCGCGGUAAUACGUAGGUGGCAAGCGUUGUCCGGAUUUAUUGGGCGUAAAGCGAGCGCAGGCGGUUUUUUAGGUCUGAUGUGAAAGCCUUCGGCUUAACCGGAGAAGUGCAUCGGAAACCGGGAGACUUGAGUGCAGAAGAGGACAGUGGAACUCCAUGUGUAGCGGUGAAAUGCGUAGAUAUAUGGAAGAGCACCAGUGGCGAAGGCGGCUGUCUGGUCUGUAACUGACGCUGAGGCUCGAAAGCAUGGGUAGCGAACAGGAUUAGAUACCCUGGUAGUCCAUGCCGUAAACGAUGAGUGCUAAGUGUUGGAGGGUUUCCGCCCUUCAGUGCUGCAGCUAA
This 831-nucleotide ribosomal RNA is filed under the name uncultured bacterium. RNAcentral's name for it is "bacterial SSU rRNA". It matches the Rfam family "Bacterial small subunit ribosomal RNA", at positions 43 to 855 of the family's 1533-position model. The record is from RNAcentral.